ACUAAAGCUAGCCCACUAUUUAUUAAAUACAACUAACAUACCUUGAUCAAUUAAAACAUUCAAUCUACCUACUAAAGUAUAGGCGAUAGAAAUUUUAAAUAUGGCGCUAUAGAGAAAGUACCGUAAGGGAACGAUGAAAGAGUAAUUUAAAAGUAAAAAAAAGCAAAGAUUACCCCUUGUACCUUUUGCAUAAUGAGUUAACCAGUAAAUCUUUAGCAAAGAGAACUUCAGUUAAAUUACCCGAAACCAGACGAGCUACCUACGAACAGUUACCAGAACCAACCCGUGUAUGUGGCAAAAUAGUGGGGAGAUUUGCAGGUAGAGGUGAUACGCCCAACGAGCCCGGUGAUAGCGGGUUGUCCAGGAAAUGAAUCUAAGUUCAGCUUUAAAAAUACCUAAAAGACACUAAAACUCUAAUGUUUUUUUAAAAGUUAGUCUAAAAGGGUACAGCUUUUUAGAAAUGGAUACAACCUUGACUAGAGAGUAACUAUAAACUACACCAUAGUAGGCUUAGAAGCAGCCACCAAUUAAGAAAGCGUUAAAGCUCAACAAAAACUUUACUAUAAUACCAAAAAUAAAUAAAUAAACUCCUAGCCUGUCUACUGGACUAAUCUAUUAUUUUAUAGAAGCAAUAAUGUUAGCAUGAGUAACAAGAAGUAAUUCUCCCUGCACAAGCUUACGUCAGCAACUGAUACUACCCUGACAAUUAACAGCCAAUAAAUACAACCCACAAUUAAACUAUUUAUCCACACUACUGUUAACCCAACACAGGUGUGCACUAAGGGAAAGAUUAAAAGAAGUAAAAGGAACUCGGCAAACACAAGCCCCGCCUGUUUACCAAAAACAUCACCUCUAGCAUAACCAGUAUUAGAGGCACUGCCUGCCCAGUGACAACAGUUAAACGGCCGCGGUAUCCUGACCGUGCAAAGGUAGCAUAAUCAUUUGUUCUCUAAAUAAGGACUUGUAUGAACGGCAACACGAGGGCUUAACUGUCUCUUUCUUCCAAUCAGUGAAAUUGACCUUUCGGUGAAGAGGCGGGAAUACCUAAAUAAGACGAGAAGACCCUAUGGAGCUUUAAUUAACUCAUCUAAUAGAACAAUACUUAAUCACCAAGAGACAACAAUACUUCUAACUAGGUGAGCAAUUUCAGUUGGGGUGACUUCGGAGAAGAAGAAAUCCUCCGAGCGAUUUAUAAAGAUUAGACUCACAAGUCAAAUCACACUAUCAUUUAUUGAUCCAAAGCUCUUGAUCAACGGAACAAGUUACCCUAGGGAUAACAGCGCAAUCCUAUUCUAGAGUCCAUAUCGACAAUAGGGUUUACGACCUCGAUGUUGGAUCAGGACAUCCUAAUGGUGCAGCCGCUAUUAAAGGUUCGUUUGUUCAACGAUUAAAGUCCUACGUGAUCUGAGUUCAGACCGGAGUAAUCCAGGUCGGUUUCUAUCUAUAAUAUAUUUCUCCCGGUACGAAAGGACAAGAGAAAUGAGGCCAACUUAAAAUAAGCGCCUCCAAGUCAAUUAAUGAUCUAAUCUCAAUUAAUUAACAAAUAACAACCCUAUAGCCCAAGAACAGGGCUA
This 1574-nucleotide ribosomal RNA is filed under the name Moschiola indica. RNAcentral describes it as "16S ribosomal RNA". It matches the Rfam family "Bacterial large subunit ribosomal RNA". The record is from RNAcentral. Lineage: Eukaryota; Metazoa; Chordata; Mammalia; Artiodactyla; Tragulidae.